This 468-nucleotide ribosomal RNA is filed under the name uncultured bacterium. RNAcentral's name for it is "partial 16S ribosomal RNA". It matches the Rfam family "Bacterial small subunit ribosomal RNA", at positions 28 to 507 of the family's 1533-position model. The record is from RNAcentral.
GACGAACGCUGGCGGCGUGCUUAACACAUGCAAGUCGAACGGAAAGGCCCUGCUUUUGUGGGGUGCUCGAGUGGCGAACGGGUGAGUAACACGUGAGUAACCUGCCCUUGACUUUGGGAUAACUUCAGGAAACUGGGGCUAAUACCGGAUAGGAGCUCCUGCUGCAUGGUGGGGGUUGGAAAGUUUCGGCGGUUGGGGAUGGACUCGCGGCUUAUCAGCUUGUUGGUGGGGUAGUGGCUUACCAAGGCUUUGACGGGUAGCCGGCCUGAGAGGGUGACCGGCCACAUGGGGACUGAGAGACGGCCCAGACUCCUACGGGAGGCAGCAGUGGGGAAUAUUGCGCAAUGGGCGGAAGCCUGAUGCAGCAACGCCGCGUGCGGGAUGACGGCCUUCGGGUUGUAAACCGCUUUCGCCUGUGACGAAGCGUGAGUGACGGUAAUGGGUAAAGAAGCACCGGCUAACUACGUG